This 406-nucleotide ribosomal RNA is filed under the name uncultured bacterium. RNAcentral's name for it is "partial 16S ribosomal RNA". It matches the Rfam family "Bacterial small subunit ribosomal RNA", at positions 30 to 526 of the family's 1533-position model. The record is from RNAcentral.
AUUGAACGCUGGCGGCAGGCCUAAUAAAGGCAAGCUGAACGAGUGGCGGACGGGUGAGUAAUGUCUGGGAAACUGCCUGAUGGAGGGGGAUAAGUACUGGAAACGGUAGCUAAUACCGCAUACCAUCGGAUGUGCCCAGAUGGGAUUAGCUAGUAGGUGGGGUAAAGGCUCACCUAGGCGACGAUCCCUAGCUGGUCUGAGAGGAUGACCAGCCACCCUAGAACUUAGACACAGUCCAGACUCCUACGGGAGGCAGCAGUGGGGAAUAUUGCACAAUGGGCGCAAUCCUGAUGCAGCCAUGCCGCGUGUAUGAAGAGGGCCUUCGGGUUGUAAAGUACUUUCAGCGGGGAGGCGUUACCCGCAGAAGAAGCACCGGCUAACUCCGUGCCCGCAGCCGCGGUAAUAC